UAUAUGUAUAAAAUGCAAUGUUUGUUUGUUUAUCUAUUCCUCAUAAGCUCCCUCAUAUUAUUUGACUUAUCGGAACCAAACUUUGCAAGGCCACUCUCCACCAGUAACAGAGGAUAUUCUAGUUCAAAAUCACUCCAGGAGUGGAUCAUUUUGGAUCGUAAUUUAAAACACAUAUUUAAAUCCUACAGUAUUGUUUUGACUAUUGUUGACAUUGCAAAGUAUGAAAUAAGAAUGACAUCAUAGUCUCAUAAGCAUGACAUUACUAUGACGUAACAAUGUACAAUGGUAAUGUCACAAGCGUUAUCAGUGUGUGGCGUCAUUAUGACGUAAUAGUUAUUAACAUCGAAAAAAUUCGUCCGUACGACGUAACAAUGGACGACGUCCCAGAGUAUUAUCAUAAUGUGGCAUCCUUAUGCUAUAGAAAUAACAUCACAAUAGUACCGACAUGUGAAAUAGCAAUGGUUAAACCAUUAUUUAUUAAUCCAUGCAAACGGAAAAUUUUAAUUUUUUCGUUUGCAUGGAUUAAUAAAUAAUAAUUUAUUUAAUUUUGGUCUCUAUGGUAAAAGACUAAACAUAGAUAUUAUGCUGAU
Molecule: long non-coding RNA, 590 nt
Filed under: Androctonus crassicauda
Lineage: Eukaryota; Metazoa; Arthropoda; Arachnida; Scorpiones; Buthidae
Source: RNAcentral